UGAGAUUUUAACUAGGACCUGAAGGUCAGAAAACCACUGAAGAUAAUAAAAGGAGCAAUUUCCAAAAUCAAGGAUCCUCCACUGAUGGUGUCCCACCAUUACCAGUGACCUAGAGAUGGAGCCUGUAAACUGAAAUGUAUUAACUGAUCUCAGGUGCCACUGCAGGACAUGGGACAAAAGACAAGAUCAGCAACCAGACUACUGCACUGGGCAGCAGUCUGGGGAGAAAGUGACCAGCCCUCCACAGUGAAACAAGUUGGGGAGUAUUUAGAAAAGGUUGACAUGUACAGGUCCAAAGGACUGGAUGUCAUGUGCAUGAGGCUGCUGAGGGAGUUGGCUGGUGUGAUUGCAGAGCUGCUGGCCAUUCUUUGAAAACUUGUGGUAAUCAGGGGAAGUCCAGGCUGAUUGGAAAAGGGCAAAUAUAGUGCCCGUCUUGAAGAAAGAAAAGGAGGAGGAUCCAAGGAAAUACAGACUAGUCAGCCUCACUUCAGUCUCUGGACAAGACAUGGAGCAGGUUUUCAAGGAACCUAUUUCUAAGUAGUUGGAGGAGAAGAAAGUUAUCAGGAACAGUCCACAUGGAUUCACUGAGGGCAAGGCAUGCCUGACCAACCCAAUUGCCUUCUACAAUGAGAUGACUGGCUCUGUGGAUAUGGGGAAAGCAGUGGACGUGAUAUACCCUGAUUUUAGCAUGGUUGUUGAUAUUGUCUUCCACAGCAUUCUUGCAAGCAAGCUAAGGAAGUAUGGGUUGGAUGAAUAGACUGUAACAGAAAGAAAGCUGGCUGGAUUGUCAGGCUCAUUGGGUAGGGAUCAAUGGCUCAAUGUCUAAUUGGCAGCUGGUAUUAAGUGGAGUGUCCCAGGGGUUGAUCUUGGGACCAGUUUUGUUAAAUAUCUUCAUUAACGAUCUGGAAGAUGGGAUGGAGUGCACCCUCAGCAAGUUUCUGGAUCCCAACAAGCUGUGUGGAGGAAUAGAUAUGCUGGAGAGUAGGGCUAGGAUUCAGUGAUCUAGACAAAUUGGAGGAUUGGCCCACAAGAAAUCUCAUGAGGCUCACCAAGGAUAAGUACAGAGUCCUGCACUUAAGACAGAAGAAGCUUACACACUGCCAUAGGUUUGGGACCAACUGGCAAAGCAGCAACUCUGACAAAAAGAACCUGAGGGUUACAGUAGACAAUAAGCUGGAUACGAGUUGACAGCGUGCUCUUGUUGUCAAGAAGGCAAACAGCAUACUCAGCUCCAUCAGUAGGAGCGUUCCUAGCCGAUUGAGGGAAGUAAUUAUUCUCCUCUAUCCUGCACUAACGAAGCCACAUCUGGACUACUGUGUUGAGUUUUUGGGCCCCUCACUACAGAAAGGAUGUGGACCAAUUGGAAAGUCCA
Molecule: long non-coding RNA, 1372 nt
Filed under: Crocodylus porosus (Australian saltwater crocodile)
Lineage: Eukaryota; Metazoa; Chordata; Crocodylia; Crocodylidae
Description: lncRNA (ENSCPRG00005018298.1)
Source: RNAcentral